AUACGUAGGGGGCGAGCGUUAUCCGGAUUUAUUGGGCGUAAAGCGUGUGUAGGCGGUUUGUUAAGUUUAAGAUUAAAGCCCGAGGCUUAACCUCGGUUCGUCUUAAAAACUGGCAGACUUGAGUGCAGUAGAGGCAAGUGGAAUUUCUAGUGUAGCGGUUAAAUGCGUAGAUAUUAGAAGGAACACCAGUGGCGAAGGCGGCUGGCUGGGCUGUUACUGAGGCGGAGACACGAAAGCGUGGGGAGCAAAUAGGAUUAGAUCCCCUAGUAGUCCACGCCGUAAACGAUGAGUACUAAGUGUCGGGUAACCGGUGCUGAAGUUAACACAUUAAGUACUCCGCCUGAGUAGUACGGUCGCAAGGCUGAAACUCAAAUGAAUUGACGGGG
Molecule: ribosomal RNA, 386 nt
Filed under: uncultured bacterium
Lineage: Bacteria
Description: partial 16S ribosomal RNA
Rfam family: Bacterial small subunit ribosomal RNA
Source: RNAcentral